Molecule: long non-coding RNA, 3170 nt
Organism: Gasterosteus aculeatus aculeatus (three-spined stickleback)
Lineage: Eukaryota; Metazoa; Chordata; Actinopteri; Perciformes; Gasterosteidae
Source: Ensembl
AAUGCUCUUCUCAAUGACUAGUUAUACUGGAACAUCUUGCUCCAGGCGGGGGCAGUAAGAGAAGGCCUUUGUCUGCGUACCAACAGAUCCGUGAGACAUAUAUAACAUGUGCAUGUAAGUGUGUCCAGCCGCUGCAUGGAUCACACAUCAUGCAAUUCAAGCGUGCAACAUUGCGCACAAUUAAAAGUUACAGUUUACUUUAUAAGAAUAUAAAACACACACACACGAGAUAUAAAUUUCAACGGCUCCCUAUCUUUCGUAAUGUUCCGCACUACAGCGCUGCAAGCAGAAGCGUGUACCUGUGAGACGACAACACAAAAGCCUGUUUAUGCUCGGAUACCAGUUCUCUGUUAUAUUCAAUUAGAAUGCUUUAUGCUCUCUCAACGGUGGCAGUUACCAGCAUAACACAUUGCUGUCAUUCUUUCAUCUCAUCCUCCUCUCUUCUGAAUGGCCUCAUUUAGUUGUCCUCCCGUGGCAGAUGCGCCAGACACACACUGCUGGUCGUUGUGUGUGUGUGUGUGUGUGUAAAGUUACCAGCAGUGAGGCAUCGGCCUAAAUAGUGUUUGUACGCGUGUUAGCGACAUGCAGCUCUUUUUCUGCUUCACGUGAUGGUUUAAGUCGCCGUAUGGCUGCACGGUGUGUGUUGACAGGUGUCGCCGAGGACGGGAACGCACUCAGAAUACAUUUUCCCCGCGUCUCCCAUCUCGUUUAAUAGUCAUCCCGGUGGCUCCUGCAUUCAAACCCACUUAUGCUAAUCGCGCUGCUUGUUCUUUAACCGUUUUAAAUGAGCUCUUAUUGAUCAUCGCUUCACCACAAACAGUUGUGCAGCACACUGCUAUCUAUUGGCAGGAAUUACAGGACGUACGGAUAGGCGGGAAAAAAAAGUGACGAGUCCGCAGAAAGGGAAAGGGGAAUAACAUUUUUUUUUAAAUCAAUAGAGCGUAAGCAGAUUUGGCCCUCGUGAGAAAAGUUCAGGAAAACAACCACGGUGCCUUUUUUCUGCAAAACCGACAGUAAUUUAAACUCGUGAGAAGUUGGGACGGCUGAGAAUCAGUAAACAUCUGGUCCAUUUGUAUGUUUCUCAAUUGCAGUUUGCGAUGUGAUUGACCAUUAGUGAAGUUUUAGUUUGGAAGCAGUCGUCCUGUGAUAUGAUUUGAUGUCAAAAUGAGGUGAGAUUAUUUGUUAUGUUAAAGACCACAGCCAACGAUACCUCUUAAACCUUAUUUAAUCGAACGGUAAUUACUUUUUCCAAUAGUCAGUCAGUACUGUGAGAUCUCUAUGAAAUAUGUUCUAUUUAGAGCCUUCAAGAAAAAUAACUAAUUAUAAUGCAGAUUGGUCACAACAUUAUGGAACGUACAAUAAUGUAAUCAUUUCUGUGUGAAAAAGACACGUUGCCAAAGCAUGAAAGAGAAAUAUCUGUGAUUCUAUGUUAAUUAUUCAAUGAUAAUUGAGUUUAUAUCUUUCUCUACUUGUUUUCCCUCGUGUCCACACAAUCUGCAAGACUGAUAAACCAUUCUGGUAAUUUAAUUUUUACAACUUAAGUGAGUGAUAAAGCAAAGUAUUGUAUCAGUUGGUGCUUUAAAUCAUUCCCGUAUAGAAAUCUAAAUGUUUAGUUUUUUAUCUACCAUCAAAAUACAUUCAUCUCUUAAAAGCCGCUUACACGUUUUUAAAUGUAUUAACAUCAAGUGUGCUGUCCAGAUCAGCAUGGCGACACAAUGUGUCGUCUCCUCCCAGGCUAAUUUAAUUAUUUACUUAUUCCCCUCAUAUACGGGGACAAAAUCCUGUUGUAGGGUAGACAGACAAGCCAACAAAUUCAAAUCCAAAAGAAGGAUAUCAAAAGGACACCAGGAAAUGCUCUAUAUGAUACAAAACUAAAAUCACUAAAAUCAACUUAAGUUAUUUUUUUUUACCUUCAUUGGUAACCCGCUUGAAAAAUCCGGUAUUCUGUUGAUUUGUGUUACCAUUACGAUGUUCAUUUUUGAUUUCUUUUUCUUUCCCCCAAUGAAGGUGCUUGAUAACCAAAACUCCAAUCAGAGCCCCAAUAUAUCAUUGCUCCGCCCUCUUUCCAAACCGUUUACUUUUUCGGUCAACCCCCGAGCAAAAUUAUCAUACUGAACACUGAUUUAAUGAAAAAAGGGAAUUAAUCUCUCAGAUUAAAUCACAUAAUAUGAUUAUAGAAUUGAUUGACAGAAAUGUUUAAAAAAAGUAAUUGGAGUCAUUGGAUAUGAAGUCACAGUACCGAUAAGCGUUUCCUGUCCAAACGUACUUCAAACUGUCACAGCGGCUAUUUCUGUUCCCUUCAUCUUCAACGUGGCCGGUCAAGGUCUCCGGCGUGAAUAUCAAGGUGUCUGACCCCGACACGCUGCCGCCAGAUUGCUUUGCAACAGCCCAUAAUUCAAGGAAAACCACACCGACAGCACCUCAGUGCAGCGCGGCGAGUCACGGUCCACGUUACCGCAACGAUAACGUUCACUCGGAUUAACAGAAAAGUCGACGCAAUAUGUAUUAUGACAAUGGAAUUCAUUACUAAAAAAGCUGUAUAAAAUGAGCAUGUGUGUUAAAGCACAAAGAAAACACUACACAUCUUCAACACCAAUCAUGUCCAGGACAGCCGUGUCAAUAUUAGGACGGCUGUGACCAUCCCCUGAUGACCGCCUGAUGUGACCUUUGGUGGCCCCUUGUACAGCACUGAAAUCACAUUGUCUCCUUCUGUCUCUCCUUCUCUCCUUCUCUGUCUCUCCUUCCCUCGGCGUAUCCCAUCAGUGUCCAACCGCUGCAGAUCCUUUCGCUCUCCUCCUGUUUACAACGUCACAUUAUCAGAAACUUCGAUAAUCCUGGUUGCGUUUUUACCGGAAUGUUGGUGGAUAACGAUAAGUUAAAAAAUGUACACUGCGAGGGUCAAAGUGAGCUGUAAUUAAUCCGAGGUUCAUGUGAGUGUUGUUAAGGAACGUUUAUCAGGGACGUUCUUUGUUUGCCAUUCGACACAAAGCAACACUACGCUUAUAAUAUUCUUCUUAUAUUCCAAUAAAAACUUUUCUGCAGACAAUGAAUCAACUUUAAAUGAGCUCAUAUUCCAAUUAUGUAGCAACCUGGUUAUAUACUUUAAAAUGGAGGUUUAAAAAUAUAAAAGCGUGGGUGAAUGGCCUUGUAUUCUGAAUAUUCAUAUUAUA